Molecule: long non-coding RNA, 236 nt
Filed under: Erythranthe guttata (spotted monkey flower)
Lineage: Eukaryota; Viridiplantae; Streptophyta; Magnoliopsida; Lamiales; Phrymaceae
Description: long non-coding RNA (EGUT_LNC000349)
Source: RNAcentral
CCUUCCAAAUCCGCAACCCACGAACAAUCAAAAUCUUUUCAAAUUCGCGAAGUCCUCUCUCCCCAGUUCACUCUGGCGGUGGCAGCCCCGAUCUCAGCAACAAAGGCGGCGACGGCGGCGGCGAGCAGGAGAAGAAUUUUUUCAACCAUCUGCACCCAUACACAACUCUCUAUGUAGCUAAAAAUUGGUGGUUCCAGACGACGGCGUUGUCGAGGAAGAGAAAUUUGAAGGGGUGG